Molecule: long non-coding RNA, 735 nt
Organism: Astyanax mexicanus (Mexican tetra)
Lineage: Eukaryota; Metazoa; Chordata; Actinopteri; Characiformes; Acestrorhamphidae
Exons: 3
Source: RefSeq, a predicted model, not a curated record
UACUGAAGGAGAAAUGGAGAGGUGGAGAUGUACUGAAGGAGUAAUGAAGUGGUGGAGAUGUACUGAAGGAGUAAUGAAGUGGUGGAGAUGUACUUAUGGAGUAGUGGAGAUGUACUGAUGGAGUAAUGGAGAGGUGGAGAUGUACUUAUGGAGUAAUGGAGUGGUGGAGAUGCACUGAAGGAGAAAUGGAGAGGUGGAGAUGUACUGAAGGAGAAAUUGAGUGGUGGAGAUGUACUGAAGGAGUAAUGAAGUGGUGGAGAUGUACUUAUGGAGUAGUGGAGAUGUACUGAUGGAGUAAUGGAGAGGUGGAGAUGUACUUAUGGAGUAAUGGAGUAGUGGAGAUGUACUUAUGGAGUAGUGGAGAUGUACUGAUGGAGUAAUGGAGAGGUGGAGAUGUACUUAUGGAGUAAUGGAGAGGUGGAGAUGUACUUAUGGAGUAGUGGAGAUGUACUUAUGGAGUAAUGGAGUGGUCGAGAUGUAUUGAAGGAAUAAUGGAGUGAUGGAGAUGUACUUAUGGAGUAAUGGAGUAGUGGAGAUGUACUGAUGGAGUAGUGGAGAUGUACUGAUGGAGUAAUGGAGAGGUGGAGAUGUACUGAAGGAGUAAUGGAGUGAUGGAGAUUAUGGGAGAUGUAGUGAAGGCUGAUAAUAAUAUAUGUGUGCAGGUGAAUGAUGGGAGUUGUAGUGAGGGCUGAUAAUAGUGGGUGCAGGUGAAUUAUGGGAGUUGUAGUGAGGGCU